CGUGUAGGCGGCCAGAUAAGUCCGCUGUGAAAACUCGAGGCUCAACUUCGAGCUGUCGGUGGAAACUAUCUGGCUAGAGUCCGGAAGAGGAGAAUGGAACUCCUGGUGUAGCGGUGAAAUGCGCAGAUAUCAGGAAGAACACCCGUGGCGAAGGCGGUUCUCUGGGACGGUACUGACGCUGAGACGCGAAAGCGUGGGGAGCGAACA
Molecule: ribosomal RNA, 207 nt
Filed under: uncultured bacterium
Lineage: Bacteria
Description: partial 16S ribosomal RNA
Rfam family: Bacterial small subunit ribosomal RNA
Source: RNAcentral